This 496-nucleotide ribosomal RNA is filed under the name uncultured bacterium. Its description in RNAcentral is "partial 16S ribosomal RNA". It matches the Rfam family "Bacterial small subunit ribosomal RNA", at positions 29 to 507 of the family's 1533-position model. The record is from RNAcentral.
AUGAACGCUGGCGGCGUGCCUAAUACCUGCAAGUCGAGCGAACGGACGAGAAGCUUGCUUCUCUGAUGUUAGCGGCGGACGGGUGAGUAACACGUGGAUAACCUACCUAUAAGACUGGGAUAACUUCGGGAAACCGUAGCUAAUACCGGAUAAUAUUUUGAACCGCAUGGUUCAAAAGUGAAAGACGGUCUUGCUGUCACUUAUAGAUGGAUCCGCGCUGCAUUAGCUAGUUGGUAAGGUAACGGCUUACCAAGGCAACGAUGCAUAGCCGACCUGAGAGGGUGAUCGGCCACACUGGAACUGAGACACGGUCCAGACUCCUACGGGAGGCAGCAGUAGGGAAUCUUCCGCAAUGGGCGAAAGCCCGACGGAGCAACGCCGCGUGAGUGAUGAAGGUCUUCGGAUCGUAAAACUCUGUUAUUAGGGAAGAACAUAUGUGUAAGUAACUGUGCACAUCUUGACGGUACCUAAUCAGAAAGCCACGGCUAACUACGUG